This 253-nucleotide ribosomal RNA is filed under the name uncultured bacterium. RNAcentral describes it as "partial 16S ribosomal RNA". It matches the Rfam family "Bacterial small subunit ribosomal RNA", at positions 524 to 776 of the family's 1533-position model. The record is from RNAcentral.
GACGAGCUCUCCAAACGUUAUCCGGAAUCACUGGGUUUAAAGGGUGCGUAGGCGGGUUAUUAAGUCAGUGGUGAAAUACUGUCGCUUAACGAUAGAACUGCCAUCGAUACUGAUAGUCUUGAAUUGGGUUGAGGUUAGCGGAAUGUGACAUGUAGCGGUGAAAUGCAUAGAUAUGUCAUGGAACACCAAUUGCGAAGGCAGCUAACUGGGCCUUGAUUGACGCUGAGGCACGAAAGCGUGGGUAGCGAACAGG